GCAGGGUGUGGUGGCGCAUGCCUGUAGUCCCAGCUACUCAGGAGGCUGAGGCAGGAGAAUCGCUUGAACCCAGGAGGCAGAGGUUGCGGUGAGCUGAGAUCGUGCCACUGCACUUCAGCCCGGGGGACAGAAUGAGACUCUGUUUAAAAAAAAAAAAAAAAAAAAAAUUUCAGUCUAGUGUCAAUUAGACGUACAUUGCUGAGGUAUUUUAUCUAUUGCAGAUUUUUUUCCCCUUUUUAUUGCAUCAGGCAUAUUGCCCUGUAAAUUGUGGUAGUGAUACCAGGAAUAAAAUAUUAAAUAAUUUUAUUGGAAGCAGAGGAUCGCCAAGUUGACUGAGGAGGGGUAAACUGGCCCAGGUUGGAAACAGAGCAGGUGAAAAUUCUCAUGCUGGUUAGUAGUGGAGUCACACCUGUGAGUAGCCACUGCACUUUAUCCUGGGCAGCAAGACCCUGUCUCUA
RNAcentral lists this signal recognition particle RNA (458 nucleotides) under Papio anubis (olive baboon). RNAcentral's name for it is "Metazoan signal recognition particle RNA (ENSPANG00000040586.1)". It matches the Rfam family "Metazoan signal recognition particle RNA". From Rfam's summary of the family: The signal recognition particle (SRP) is a universally conserved ribonucleoprotein. It is involved in the co-translational targeting of proteins to membranes. Lineage: Eukaryota; Metazoa; Chordata; Mammalia; Primates; Cercopithecidae. The record is from Rfam by way of RNAcentral.